Molecule: ribosomal RNA, 498 nt
Filed under: uncultured bacterium
Lineage: Bacteria
Description: partial 16S ribosomal RNA
Rfam family: Bacterial small subunit ribosomal RNA
Source: RNAcentral
GAUGAACGCUAGCGGCAGGCCUAAUACAUGCAAGUCGAACGAUAGAAGAGGGCUUGCUCUCUUCGAAAGUGGCGCACGGGUGCGUAACGCGUAUGCAACCUACCUUAAUCAGGGGGAUAGCCCAAAGAAAUUCGGAUUAACACCGCAUAAAAUCACAGUACAGCAUUGUACAAUGAUCAAAUAUUUAUAGGAUUAAGAUGGGCAUGCGUGACAUUAGCUAGUUGGCGGGGUAACGGCCCACCAAGGCGACGAUGUCUAGGGGAUCUGAGAGGAUGACCCACCAUACUGGUAUUUAGACACGGAACAGACUCCUACGGGAGGCAGCAGGAAGGAAUAUUCGUCAAUGGAGGCAACGCUGAACCGGCCAUGCCGCGUGCAGCAAGACAGCCCUCUGAGUCGUAAACUGCUUUUAUUCGGGAAUAAACCUACUUACGUGUAAGUAGCUGAAAGUACCGAAGGAAUAAGGAUCGGCUAACUCCGUGCCAGCAGCCGCGGUAA